AGGACGAACGCUGGCGGCGUGCUUAACACAUGCAAGUCGAGCGGAAAGGCCCUUCGGGGUACUCGAGCGGCGAACGGGUGAGUAACACGUGUGCAACCUGCCCCUGGCUCUGGGAUAGCCUCCGGAAACGGGGAUUAAUACCGGACAUGACCUGGGACUGCAUGGUUCUGGGUGGAAAGUUUUUCGGCCAGGGUGGGCUCGCGGCCUAUCAGCGUUGGUUGGGGGGGUGACGGCCCACCAAGGGCGACGACGGGUAG
Molecule: ribosomal RNA, 257 nt
Filed under: uncultured bacterium
Lineage: Bacteria
Description: partial small subunit ribosomal RNA
Rfam family: Bacterial small subunit ribosomal RNA
Source: RNAcentral